CAGUCGCCGCGGGAAUACGAAGGGGGCUAGCGUUGCUCGGAAUGACUGGGCGUAAAGGGCGCGUAGGCGGCGGCCAAAGUCAGGCGUGAAAUUCCCGGGCUCAACCUGGGGGCUGCGCUUGAUACUUGGUUGCUUGAGUGGGGAAGAGGGUCGUGGAAUUCCCAGUGUAGAGGUGAAAUUCGUAGAUAUUGGGAAGAACACCGGUGGCGAAGGCGGCGACCUGGUCCAUUACUGACGCUGAGGCGCGAAAGCGUGGGGAGCAAACAGGAUUAGAUACCCCCGUAGUCCCUGUCUCUUAUAC
Molecule: ribosomal RNA, 301 nt
Filed under: uncultured bacterium
Lineage: Bacteria
Description: partial 16S ribosomal RNA
Rfam family: Bacterial small subunit ribosomal RNA
Source: RNAcentral